CCCUUAGAUGUUCUGGGCCGCACGCGCGCUACACUGAUGCAUUCAACGAGCCUAUCCUUGACCGACAGGUCCGGGUAAUCUUUGAAUCUGCAUCGUGACGGGGAUAGAUUAUUGCAAUUAUUAAUCUUCAACGAGGAAUGCCUAGUAGGCGCAAGUCAUCAGCUUGCGUCGAUUACGUCCCUGCCCUUUGUACACACCGCCCGUCGCUCCUACCGAUUGGGUGUGCUGGUGAAAUGUUCGGAUCGGCCGUUUGUCGCGGUUUCCGCGUCAUGUGGCUGAGGAGUUCAUUAAACCCUCCCACCUAGAGGAAGGAGAAGUCGUAACA
RNAcentral lists this ribosomal RNA (325 nucleotides) under uncultured eukaryote. RNAcentral describes it as "partial 18S ribosomal RNA". It matches the Rfam family "Eukaryotic small subunit ribosomal RNA", at positions 1470 to 1796 of the family's 1831-position model. The record is from RNAcentral.